AAUAAGUACGGUUUUGCACUAUUCACGUUCAACGUUUGACUGUUCGUCUUAUUUGAAAAGUUUUUAUGAUUAGUAUUUUUAUUGCUAUUAGAUGAUAAAACAUAAAUAGUACUUUAUGUGUGACUAAAUAUUUUCAAAUUUUUCAUAAAUUUUUCAAAUAAGACGGACGGUCAAACAUUGGGCACGGAUAUCCACGGCGGCACUUAUU
Non-coding RNA from Oryza barthii, 208 nucleotides. The record is from Rfam. Lineage: Eukaryota; Viridiplantae; Streptophyta; Magnoliopsida; Poales; Poaceae.